Non-coding RNA from Lolium perenne, 1070 nucleotides. Lineage: Eukaryota; Viridiplantae; Streptophyta; Magnoliopsida; Poales; Poaceae. The record is from RefSeq and is a predicted model, not a curated record.
UGAGUGUUGUUUUUUUCAGAUUAAGUUUGUUGUCUCACUAUUCCAAGCAUAGUAUUCAUGCUGUUUCAUUUCGCACUAAUUAAAUGCUUCAGUUAUUUAUUCUUUUGGUUUUAUUUGGAUAAAUAAAUUUUAGAGGAUUUACUAAGAUGAUCUUGAAUUUUGCAGUCCAUGCAAUUUCAUAAUAUUGUUAGAGAUCCAUCUACAGCUGGUCAGUAUUGCUAUCUUCUCUUUCAGUUUUAAACCAUCUCAUCAUAAUUGUUUAUGUCUCUUUCAUGUUAAUACUCUGGCUCCAGUAUGACUUGGCUUAAAGCAACAAAGAAUAUACAUAGUAGAGACUCAAAACCUAAUUAUUCUUUGGUACUUCUGUUAGCUCUGCUAUGCAGGGAGCCAUUUCUUGAAUAUUCAUAAUCCUAUCUUUUUCUUGGUGCUGCCAAUUAAUUUUAUGUACCAAGUGGACUUAGUGCAAUUAUCUUACUGUAUAAUGCCUCACAAUGUCUGCCAUGGCACUUACCUAGAUGUAAUUACAUGAUAACUAAACUAUUUUUUUUGUACUUGAUCUGGAUAAUACAGGAAACAUGCUCAACAGCUGGUCUUGUUCAAUGGGUGCUGCAAAUUUAGAAGUCUUUGUGAAAAUGACUUGUGGCGGGGUCUGCUGUGUGAGGAUCCAGAAGAUGCAAUUACUGUCUGCCUUUGCUGCAGGUGGCCAAUCUCACUAAUAAAUAAUAAGCAUUUGUGUGGCGGGGUUUGCUGGGUGAGGAUCCGCACGUUGCAAUUACUGUCUGCUUUUGAUGUAGGUGGCCAAACUCACUAUUAAGCACUUGUCAAGAUCAAUUGUCUGGGAAGGGAAAUGCAGGCAUGUUCUCUAUAAGGACCAGAAGAUCAGCGAGGACAUACUAUAUUUGGAUAUAAGCUCUGAACAUCUGAAGGCAGAAUAUUAGUAGGACAGGAUAUAUAUAGGAGUGGUUAGAUUGUCAUAUUUUGAAUCAGCAUUGUAAGCUGUGUGUACUCUUCGAAUGAUUUUCAUGUAUUCUGAUAGUGAUUCCAGUAAUAAAAAUUCAGUUGUUUCUUCA